RNAcentral lists this ribosomal RNA (207 nucleotides) under uncultured bacterium. Its description in RNAcentral is "partial 16S ribosomal RNA". It matches the Rfam family "Bacterial small subunit ribosomal RNA", at positions 568 to 774 of the family's 1533-position model. The record is from RNAcentral.
AGCGUAGGUGGCAUUCUAAGUCUGAUGUGAAAGCUCUGAGCUUAACUCAGAAAUGGCAUUAGAAACUAGUUUGCUUGAGGAUUGGAGGGGAGAUUGGAAUUCUCGGUGUAGCAGUGAAAUGCGUAGAUAUCGAGAGGAACACCAGUGGCGAAGGCGAAUCUCUGGACAAUUCCUGACACUGAUGCUCGAAAGCUAGGGGAGCAAACG